GUGGGGAAUAUUGGACAAUGGGGGGAACCCUGAUCCAGCCAUGCCGCGUGUGUGAAGAAGGCCUUUUGGUUGUAAAGCACUUUAAGCGAGGAGGAGGCUACCGAGAUUAAUACUCUUGGAUAGUGGACGUUACUCGCAGAAUAAGCACCGGCUAACUCUGUGCCAGCAGCCGCGGUAAUACAGAGGGUGCAAGCGUUAAUCGGAUUUACUGGGCGUAAAGCGCGCGUAGGUGGCCAAUUAAGUAAAAUGUGAAAUCCCCGAGCUUAACUUGUGAAUUGCAUUCGAUACUGGUUGGCUAGAGUAUGGGAGAGGAUGGUAGAAUUCCAGGUGUAGCGGUGAAAUGCGUAGAGAUCUGGAGGAAUACCGAUGGCGAAGGCAGCCAUCUGGCCUAAUACUGACACUGAGGUGCGAAAGCAUGGGGAGCAAACAGGAUUAGAAACCCCUGUAGUCC
This 451-nucleotide ribosomal RNA is filed under the name uncultured bacterium. RNAcentral describes it as "partial 16S ribosomal RNA". It matches the Rfam family "Bacterial small subunit ribosomal RNA", at positions 354 to 796 of the family's 1533-position model. The record is from RNAcentral.